RNAcentral lists this ribosomal RNA (252 nucleotides) under uncultured Bacteroidales bacterium. Its description in RNAcentral is "partial 16S ribosomal RNA". It matches the Rfam family "Bacterial small subunit ribosomal RNA", at positions 524 to 776 of the family's 1533-position model. Lineage: Bacteria; Pseudomonadati; Bacteroidota; Bacteroidia; Bacteroidales. The record is from RNAcentral.
UACGGAGGAUGCGAGCGUUAUCCGGAUUUAUUGGGUUUAAAGGGUGCGUAGGCGGCGAGUUAAGUCAGCGGUAAAAGCCCGGGGCUCAACCCCGGCGAGCCGUUGAAACUGGCGGGCUGGAGUUGGAGAGAAGUACGCGGAAUGCGCGGUGUAGCGGUGAAAUGCUUAGAUAUCGCGCAGAACCCCGAUUGCGAAGGCAGCAUACCGGCGCUCAACUGACGCUCAUGCACGAAAGCGUGGGUAUCGAACAGG